This 493-nucleotide ribosomal RNA is filed under the name uncultured bacterium. Its description in RNAcentral is "partial 16S ribosomal RNA". It matches the Rfam family "Bacterial small subunit ribosomal RNA", at positions 28 to 506 of the family's 1533-position model. The record is from RNAcentral.
GACGAACGCUGGCGGCGUGCUUGACACAUGCAAGUCGAACGGUGAAGCGCCUUCCUUUUUGGUGGGUGUGGAUGAGUGGCGAACGGGUGAGUAACACGUGAGUAACCUGCCCCCUUCUUCUGGAUAACCGCAUGAAAGUGUGGCUAAUACGGGAUAUUCUGGGUCUGUCGCAUGAUGGGUCUGGGAAAGAUAUUGUUUCGGUGGGGGAUGGGCUCGCGGCCUAUCAGCUUGUUGGUGGGGUGAUGGCCUACCAAGGCGGUGACGGGUAGCCGGCCUGAGAGGGUGGACGGGCACACUGGGACUGAGACACGGCCCAGACUCCUACGGGAGGCAGCAGUGGGGAAUAUUGCACAAUGGGCGCAAGCCUGAUGCAGCGACGCCGCGUGAGGGAUGGAGGCCUUCGGGUUGUGAACCUCUUUCGCCAGUGAAGCAGGCCUGCCUCGUUUGUGGGUGGGUUGACGGUAGCUGGAUAAGAAGCGCCGGCUAACUACGU